UCUACCCUAGUUAUAUAUAGAUAUAAGGACUUUGUUCCUGUCUACCCUAGUUAUUUAUAUGUAUUGUGUGAUGAUUCGUUGUUUAACUCCUAAAAUUUAGAUGGUGUUAUACAUUAGCAGUGACACAUUGCUUAGACCCUUGAUCACUCUGGAUUACCCUUAUCUAGAUGAGAUGAACCGAUUUGGCACAUGUGUGUGAAAGUGCAUUAUUCAUUGAUUUAUUGAUUUAACAGCAAAAGAGAUAUUAUUUUUUAGGCCUGAAUAUGUUUUUUCGUUAUUGUAUUGACUAAAAUUAAUAUGAAUUUUGCAUUUAUAUGUAGUUUCUUACUCAUGUUUGGGAUUUUAAUCUACCCAAAUAUCUCUGUAUU
This 368-nucleotide long non-coding RNA is filed under the name Panax ginseng (ginseng). RNAcentral describes it as "long non-coding RNA (PGIN_LNC001383)". The record is from RNAcentral. Lineage: Eukaryota; Viridiplantae; Streptophyta; Magnoliopsida; Apiales; Araliaceae.